UACGUAGGGUGCGAGCGUUGUCCGGAAUUACUGGGCGUAAAGAGCUCGUAGGUGGUUUGUCGCGUUGUUCGUGAAAACUCACAACUCAAUUGUGGGCGUGCGGGCGAUACGGGCAGACUGGAGUACUGCAGGGGAGACUGGAAUUCCUGGUGUAGCGGUGAAAUGCGCAGAUAUCAGGAGGAACACCGGUGGCGAAAGCGGCUCUCUGGGACGGUACUGACGCUGAGACGCGAAAGCGUGGGGAGCAAACAGG
This 253-nucleotide ribosomal RNA is filed under the name uncultured bacterium. RNAcentral's name for it is "partial 16S ribosomal RNA". It matches the Rfam family "Bacterial small subunit ribosomal RNA", at positions 524 to 776 of the family's 1533-position model. The record is from RNAcentral.